This 131-nucleotide small nucleolar RNA is filed under the name Vicugna pacos (alpaca). RNAcentral's name for it is "Small nucleolar RNA SNORA38 (ENSVPAG00000015802.1, ENSVPAG00000016762.1)". It matches the Rfam family "Small nucleolar RNA SNORA38". From Rfam's summary of the family: ACA38 is a member of the H/ACA class of snoRNA that guide the sites of modification of uridines to pseudouridines. Lineage: Eukaryota; Metazoa; Chordata; Mammalia; Artiodactyla; Camelidae. The record is from Rfam by way of RNAcentral.
CCCUCCUACAAAGGCGUGUCUGUGGUUUCCUAUCUUUGGACACGUAAGAAUUGGAGGCAAAGAAAUGUGGACUUGGAGAAAUCUGGGGCCAGCUUGCACCCUGCAGGCUCAAGAUCAACCAUCCCACAAAG